ACGGGUGAGUAAUACAUCGGAACGUAUCCUGGAGUGGGGGAUAGCCCGGCGAAAGCCGGAUUAAUACCGCAUACGCUCUGAGGAGGAAAGCGGGGGACCUUCGGGCCUCGCGCUCAAGGGGCGGCCGAUGGCGGAUUAGGUAGUUGGUGGGGUAAAGGCCUACCAAGCCGACGAUCCGUAGCUGGUCUGAGAGGACGACCAGCCACACUGGGACUGAGACACGGCCCAGACUCCUACGGGAGGCAGCAGUGGGGAAUUUUGGACAAUGGGGGCAACCCUGAUCCAGCAAUGCCGCGUGUGUGAAGAAGGCCUUCGGGUUGUAAAGCACUUUUGUCCGGAAAGAAAUCAUCGGGGCCAAUACCCCUGGUGGAUGACGGUACCGGAAGAAUAAGCACCGGCUAACUACGUGCCAGCAGCCGCGGUAAUACGUAGGGUGCGAGUGUUAAUCGGAAUUACUGGGCGUAAAGCGUGCGCAGGCGGUGCUGUAAGACCGAUGUGAAAUCCCCGGGCUUAACCUGGGAACUGCAUUGGUGACUGCAGCGCUGGAGUAUGGCAGAGGGGGGUGGAAUUCCACGU
Molecule: ribosomal RNA, 576 nt
Filed under: uncultured bacterium
Lineage: Bacteria
Description: bacterial SSU rRNA
Rfam family: Bacterial small subunit ribosomal RNA
Source: RNAcentral